GCUGGGUGUGGUGGUGCACACCUGUAGUCCCAGCUACUCAGGAGGUUGAGGCGGGAGACUCAUUUGAGCCCAGGAGGUUGAGGCUGCAGUGAGCUAUAAUGGUACCACUGCACUCCAGCGUGGGUGACAGAGUGAGACCCUGUCUCAA
Macaca fascicularis (crab-eating macaque) is the source of this 148-nucleotide unclassified non-coding RNA. It matches the Rfam family "Metazoan signal recognition particle RNA". From Rfam's summary of the family: The signal recognition particle (SRP) is a universally conserved ribonucleoprotein. It is involved in the co-translational targeting of proteins to membranes. Lineage: Eukaryota; Metazoa; Chordata; Mammalia; Primates; Cercopithecidae. The record is from Ensembl.